This is a long non-coding RNA of Anopheles merus, 1834 nucleotides long. RefSeq lists it as uncharacterized. The record is from RefSeq and is a predicted model, not a curated record. The transcript is spliced from 3 exons. NCBI's taxonomy places the organism in Eukaryota, Metazoa, Arthropoda, Insecta, Diptera, Culicidae.
GCAAACAGGUUGCCUAGCGAUGUGUGAACGCAAGAAGCAGUGAACUUAGACAAUGGCGCGUGCAACGGUUUUGAAAAGGAAAGGACAUCGGAUGGGAAAUGCCUCUCAGCAUCAUUACUCUAAGUGUAGUCUAAGCACAGAAUGGUGUCAUUGUCAAGCCCUUGGACUAACGUGCCACGCGCGAACAAUUUAAGCACUCGUUUCACUUUGUUUUAGACACAAUUCUAAUGUUUGAGAGUGUCUUGAAGAAGGAAAAAAACUAAUUCCAGCAUUUGUCACUUUUACACUCCAAUUAUUGCUGUUAUAAUUGCAAGAAAGUUCCACUGACCCAUCGUUUGCUCCAUAGCACCUUCCAACAAGUCAACAUUGUUCCAAUAUUUCACUCAAACGAAGAGCCAAUUUGCAUCUUCAUCCAUCUGCGCUCGGUGACAUUUGGUUUUAAUCAAAACUCCCACUCUCCAACUCCAACAGAAAGAAUGGAAGAAAACAAAGCGAACGGAUUGAGAAGAUCAAUUUCGCUUCCCUCUAUCGCUGUGUUUGGAGAAAAGGAAACCCUCACCCACGCUUGAUUUAUGAUGCAUCCGAAGCCCGAAAUAAAAGCCCGUAUUCUCCACUUCUCACGGAGCAAAGAGUUCGGGAGAUGGCAUUUUUCAUAACCCCUAAACCCGAUAACCUCGGGUAUGGAGCAGAUCCGCUGAGGCUCCGGCCCACCUGAGCGCUCGCCCUAUCGUACUCGCUCCCCAGUACAGCAAACAAACAAACAAUUGAAAGCUGCUCGCACAAUGCUUCUCCCCGCCGCAUAAUGGCUCCUCACCUGAGAUGGCACACGCUGCUGCUGAACGAUUGGAUCGCGAUUAGACAGCGCGCCCCGCGGGCUAGACCGGCGGGGGUUGACCGGCGAGGUUAAGUGCUGGUGAAUGUCUGAAUUGAUGCCCUCGGCUUGGUUUGGCAGUGGGAAAAGCGCGGUGGUAGAGAGGCAAAAUAACUAUAAAUUCUAAUGCACCCAGCGACCCCGGUGGUGCUGCCUGGCGCUAUUGAUAAAAUACGAACGAACCCAAAUUUCGUACCCCCGGUUUGACAAAUGGACUGCCAUUUGAAAUGAUGCUUGCCGUGCAGCAGCGCUGGUUUGUGCAGCAUCACAAACCCCUCGAGCGGGCCCACCACCGUGCGAACGAUUUGCAUAUUAAUGAUGUGAAAGUGUUCGGUUUUGCGGCCCGGCACGUUGAAAGGAAGCACCCACCGGUACUGUUUGUUGACAUUCUUUCAGCGGGAAGAUUGUGUGCAUUACUCUUCGCACACCCGGCUGUCGCUAUCGCCGACAGUAGCAUCAGUUGCAAUCACAAAAAGACACCUCGCUUUCGAGGCUGCACUGUUCAUUCCAUCCGCCGAACUAUAAUAUUUUGACAGCCACAAAUAUUUGCCCUUUCACAACUUCAACGCCAAAAGCUGAAAAACAUUGAAACAGUCAACAAAUUUUCGUUCUCAAAGCGUUGCUCUCAAGCGUUGAUGGAAGCGCCUGGAUGGAUGCGCUGAAACCAAACCAAAAAAAACAGAGCCUCCACGGGUGGAUUUACGGGAAGUGUACGACAGCAAGCGAGGGCCCACUGAGGGCUGCGAGGUGAAGUGAAAAUCAAACAUCUUCACCAUAAUUGACGUCAACUUGCCGUCAACGCAAAUAGAAAUAAUAGAAAUGAGCGCUGGAAAUGAGCGCGGGCGAGGUGGAGAAAAAAAAACGCCACGCUGCGUGAAAAGAAAACACUGUAAAUUUUACACACCAUACCACUGCGGUCCGUACGCGUUCUGGGUGCAUUCUUUCAUUCUUCCCAUUCCUCGC